UAAAAAAUAAGCUAAUAAAGCUAUUAGGUUCAUACCCUAAUUAUAAAGGUUAUAACCCUUUUUUUUUAA
RNAcentral lists this transfer RNA (69 nucleotides) under Pselaphinae sp. 5 EF-2015. RNAcentral's name for it is "tRNA-Met". It matches the Rfam family "tRNA". From Rfam's summary of the family: Transfer RNA (tRNA) molecules are approximately 80 nucleotides in length. Their secondary structure includes four short double-helical elements and three loops (D, anti-codon, and T loops). Further hydrogen bonds mediate the characteristic L-shaped molecular structure. tRNAs have two regions of fundamental functional importance: the anti-codon, which is responsible for specific mRNA codon recognition, and the 3' end, to which the tRNAs corresponding amino acid is attached (by aminoacyl-tRNA synthetases). tRNAs cope with the degeneracy of the genetic code in two manners: having more than one tRNA (with a specific anti-codon) for a particular amino acid; and 'wobble' base-pairing, i.e. permitting non-standard base-pairing at the 3rd anti-codon position. The record is from RNAcentral. Lineage: Eukaryota; Metazoa; Arthropoda; Insecta; Coleoptera; Staphylinidae.